RNAcentral lists this ribosomal RNA (465 nucleotides) under uncultured bacterium. RNAcentral describes it as "partial 16S ribosomal RNA". It matches the Rfam family "Bacterial small subunit ribosomal RNA", at positions 339 to 795 of the family's 1533-position model. The record is from RNAcentral.
CUACGGGAGGCAGCAGUGGGGAAUAUUGGACAAUGGGGGAAACCCUGAUCCAGCAAUGCCGCGUGUGUGAAGAAGGCCUGCGGGUUGUAAAGCACUUUCGGUUGGGAGGACUGCUUCUAGCACUAAUAUUGUUGGAAGUUGACGUUACCUUCAGAAGAAGCACCGGCUAACUCCGUGCAAGCAGCCGCGGUAAUACGGAGGGUGCAAGCGUUAGUCGGACUUACUGGGCGUAAAGCGCGCGUAGGCGGCUAGAUCAGUCGGGUGUGAAAGCCCCGGGCUUAACCUGGGAACUGCAUCCGAUACUGUCUAGCUUGAGUACAGGAGAGGAGAGUGGAAUUCCACAUGUAGCGGUGAAAUGCGUAGAUAUGUGGAGGAACACCAAUGGCGAAGGCAGCUCUCUGGCCUGAUACUGACGCUGAGGUGCGAAAGCGGGGGGAGCAAACAGGAUUAGAUACCCUUGUAGUC